UACGAAGGGGGCUAGCGUUGUUCGGAAUUACUGGGCGUAAAGCGCGUGUAGGCGGGCCGUUAAGUCGGGGGUGAAAGCCCAGAGCUCAACUCUGGAACUGCCUUCGAUACUGGCGACCUGGACCCAAGUAGAGGCGGGUGGAAUUGCGAGUGUAGAGGUGAAAUUCGUAGAUAUUCGCAGGAACACCAGUGGCGAAGGCGACUCGCUGGACUUGUGGUGACGCUGAGACGCGAAAGCGUGGGUAGCAAACAGG
RNAcentral lists this ribosomal RNA (253 nucleotides) under uncultured bacterium. Its description in RNAcentral is "partial 16S ribosomal RNA". It matches the Rfam family "Bacterial small subunit ribosomal RNA", at positions 524 to 776 of the family's 1533-position model. The record is from RNAcentral.